RNAcentral lists this ribosomal RNA (465 nucleotides) under uncultured Klebsiella sp. RNAcentral describes it as "bacterial SSU rRNA". It matches the Rfam family "Bacterial small subunit ribosomal RNA", at positions 338 to 795 of the family's 1533-position model. Lineage: Bacteria; Pseudomonadati; Pseudomonadota; Gammaproteobacteria; Enterobacterales; Enterobacteriaceae. The record is from RNAcentral.
CCUACGGGUGGCAGCAGUGGGGAAUAUUGCACAAUGGGCGCAAGCCUGAUGCAGCCAUGCCGCGUGUGUGAAGAAGGCCUUCGGGUUGUAAAGCACUUUCAGCGGGGAGGAAGGCGUUAAGGUUAAUAACCUUGGCGAUUGACGUUACCCGCAGAAGAAGCACCGGCUAACUCCGUGCCAGCAGCCGCGGUAAUACGGAGGGUGCAAGCGUUAAUCGGAAUUACUGGGCGUAAAGCGCACGCAGGCGGUCUGUCAAGUCGGAUGUGAAAUCCCCGGGCUCAACCUGGGAACUGCAUUCGAAACUGGCAGGCUAGAGUCUUGUAGAGGGGGGUAGAAUUCCAGGUGUAGCGGUGAAAUGCGUAGAGAUCUGGAGGAAUACCGGUGGCGAAGGCGGCCCCCUGGACAAAGACUGACGCUCAGGUGCGAAAGCGUGGGGAGCAAACAGGAUUAGAUACCCGAGUUGUC